RNAcentral lists this ribosomal RNA (253 nucleotides) under uncultured bacterium. RNAcentral's name for it is "partial 16S ribosomal RNA". It matches the Rfam family "Bacterial small subunit ribosomal RNA", at positions 524 to 776 of the family's 1533-position model. The record is from RNAcentral.
GACGGAAGGUGCAAGCGUUGCUCGGAAUCACUGGGCGUAAAGGGUGCGUAGGCGGCCGUGCAAGUCUGGCGUGAAAGCCCCGGGCUCAGCCCGGGAAGUGCGCUCGAAACUGCGCGGCUCGAGUGCCGGAGGGGAGAGUGGAAUUCCUGGUGUAGCGGUGAAAUGCGUAGAUAUCAGGAGGAACACCGAUGGCGAAGGCAGGUCUCUGGGCUGACACUGACGCUCAUGCACGAAAGCGUGGGGAGCAAAUAGG